UCCAGCUUGUCACCGGCAGUUUCUUCAGAGUGCCCGGCUCUACCCGGUGGCAACUGAAGAUGAGGGUUGCGCUCGUUGCGGGACUUAACCCAACAUCUCACGACACGAGCUGACGACGGCCAUGCAGCACCUGUGUUCCGGCCAGCCGAACUGAAGAAUGAGGUCUCCCCCACCCAUACCGGACAUGUCAAGGGCUGGUAAGGUGGGGAUGACGUUUCUAGGAGGGUG
This 228-nucleotide unclassified non-coding RNA is filed under the name uncultured Alphaproteobacteria bacterium. RNAcentral's name for it is "contains 16S-23S intergenic spacer region". Lineage: Bacteria; Pseudomonadati; Pseudomonadota; Alphaproteobacteria. The record is from RNAcentral.